GACGAACGCUGGCGGCGUGCCUAAUACAUGCAAGUAGAACGCACAGUUUAUACCGUAGCUUGCUACACCAUAGACUGUGAGUUGCGAACGGGUGAGUAACGCGUAGGUAACCUGCCUGGUAGCGGGGGAUAACUAUUGGAAACGAUAGCUAAUACCGCAUAAUAUUAAUUAUUGCAUGAUAAUUAAUUGAAAGGUGCAAUUGCACCACUACCAGAUGGACCUGCGUUGUAUUAGCUAGUAGGUGAGGUAACGGCUCACCUAGGCGACGAUACAUAGCCGACCUGAGAGGGUGAGCGGCCACACUGGGACUGAGACACGGCCCAGACUCCUACGGGAGGCAGCAGUAGGGAAUCUUCGGCAAUGGACGAAAGUCUGACCGAGCAACGCCGCGUGAGUGAAGAAGGGUUUCGGAUCGUAAAGCUCUGUUGUAAGAGAAGAACGGGUGUGAGAGUGGAAAGUUCACACUGUGACGGUAUCUUACCAGAAAGGGACGGCUAACUACGUG
This 505-nucleotide ribosomal RNA is filed under the name uncultured bacterium. Its description in RNAcentral is "partial 16S ribosomal RNA". It matches the Rfam family "Bacterial small subunit ribosomal RNA", at positions 28 to 507 of the family's 1533-position model. The record is from RNAcentral.